UAAGGAAUAUUGGUCAAUGGAGGGAACUCUGAACCAGCCAUGCCGCGUGCAGGAAGACGGCCCUCUGGGUUGUAAACUGCUUUUAUUCGGGAAUAAACCACAUUACGUGUAGUGUGCUGAAUGUACCGAAGGAAUAAGGAUCGGCUAACUCCGUGCCAGCAGCCGCGGUAAUACGGAGGAUCCAAGCGUUAUCCGGAUUUAUUGGGUUUAAAGGGUGCGUAGGCGGCUUAUUAAGUCAGGGGUGAAAGACGGUGGCUCAACCAUCGCAGUGCCCUUGAUACUGAUGAGCUUGAAUGGACUAGAGGUAGGCGGAAUGUGACAAGUAGCGGUGAAAUGCAUAGAUAUGUCACAGAACACCGAUUGCGAAGGCAGCUUACUAUGGUUUAAUUGACGCUGAGGCACGAAAGCGUGGGGAUCAAACA
RNAcentral lists this ribosomal RNA (422 nucleotides) under uncultured bacterium. RNAcentral describes it as "bacterial SSU rRNA". It matches the Rfam family "Bacterial small subunit ribosomal RNA", at positions 355 to 774 of the family's 1533-position model. The record is from RNAcentral.